Molecule: non-coding RNA, 75 nt
Organism: Dryococelus australis
Lineage: Eukaryota; Metazoa; Arthropoda; Insecta; Phasmatodea; Phasmatidae
Source: the annotation of a GenBank genome assembly
GGCCCGUUAGCUAAAGUUGGUUAGAGCGUCGUGCUAAUAACGCGAAGGUCGUGGGUUCGAUCCCCCCACGGGCCA